Molecule: long non-coding RNA, 213 nt
Organism: Dendroctonus ponderosae (mountain pine beetle)
Lineage: Eukaryota; Metazoa; Arthropoda; Insecta; Coleoptera; Curculionidae
Exons: 2
Source: RefSeq, a predicted model, not a curated record
UAGUACGACUACAACACGGCCGUCUACUGAAUCUUCUUCAGUCAUACCGCCAGUAGAUCCCACAUCUGCUCGUCCCUAUAUUCCCUGCUGGUUGUACUGGUGGGAACCCUGCUGGGACCCUCACCACCAUUGAGCCGUGAGGCAGCAACCCACAUGCAUCGUACUCAGGGAUUUUGUCAACUUGCUAGAUUUGAUUAAAUUAUUUUUCUUGUA